GUAUAACAAUCGAAACCGCAUGGUUUUGAUUUGAAAGGCGCUUUCGGGUGUCGCUGAUGGAUGGACCCGCGGUGCAUUAGCUAGUUGGUGAGGUAACGGCUCACCAAGGCCACGAUGCAUAGCCGACCUGAGAGGGUGAUCGGCCACAUUGGGACUGAGACACGGCCCAAACUCCUACGGGAGGCAGCAGUAGGGAAUCUUCGGCAAUGGACGAAAGUCUGACCGAGCAACGCCGCGUGAGUGAAGAAGGUUUUCGGAUCGUAAAACUCUGUUGUUAGAGAAGAACAAGGAUGAGAGUAACUGUUCAUCCCUUGACGGUAUCUAACCAGAAAGCCACGGCUAACUACGUGCCAGCAGCCGCGGUAAUACGUAGGUGGCAAGCGUUGUCCGGAUUUAUUGGGCGUAAAGCGAGCGCAUGCGGUUUCUUAAGUCUGAUGUGAAAGCCCCCGGCUCAACCGGGGAGGGUCAUUGGAAACUGGGAGACUUGAGUGCAGAAGAGGAGAGUGGAAUUCCAUGUGUAGCGGUGAAAUGCGUACAUAUAUGGAGGAACACCAGUGGCGAAGGCGGCUCUCUGGUCUGUAACUGACGCUGAGGCUCGAAAGCGUGGGGAGCAAACAGGAUUAGAUACCCUGGUAGUCCACGCCGUAAACGAUGAGUGCUAAGUGUUGGAGGGUUUCCGCCCUUCAGUGCUGCAGCUAACGCAUUAAGCACUCCGCCUGGGGAGUACGACCGCAAGGUUGAAACUCAAAGGAAUUGACGGGGGCCCGCACAAGCGGUGGAGCAUGUGGUUUAAUUCGAAGCAACGCGAAGAACCUUACCAGGUCUUGACAUCCUUUGACCACUCUAGAGAUAGAGCUUCCCCUUCGGGGGCAAAGUGACAGGUGGUGCAUGGUUGUCGUCAGCUCGUGUCGUGAGAUGUUGGGUUAAGUCCCGCAACGAGCGCAACCCUUAUUGUUAGUUGCCAUCAUUCAGUUGGGCACUCUAGCAAGACUGCCGGUGACAAACCGGAGGAAGGUGGGGAUGACGUCAAAUCAUCAUGCCCCUUAUGACCUGGGCUACACACGUGCUACAAUGGGAAGUACAACGAGUUGCGAAGUCGCGAGGCUAAGCUAAUCUCUUAAAGCUUCUCUCAGUUCGGAUUGCAGGCU
Molecule: ribosomal RNA, 1148 nt
Filed under: Enterococcus faecium
Lineage: Bacteria; Bacillati; Bacillota; Bacilli; Lactobacillales; Enterococcaceae
Description: bacterial SSU rRNA
Rfam family: Bacterial small subunit ribosomal RNA
Source: RNAcentral